GCCUAGUUAGCUUAGUUGGUAGUGCGUCUGCCUUGUAAGCGCUAGGCCGCGGGUUCGAUUCCCGCAGUGCGUC
Molecule: transfer RNA, 73 nt
Filed under: Diaphorina citri (Asian citrus psyllid)
Lineage: Eukaryota; Metazoa; Arthropoda; Insecta; Hemiptera; Psyllidae
Rfam family: tRNA
About the family: Transfer RNA (tRNA) molecules are approximately 80 nucleotides in length. Their secondary structure includes four short double-helical elements and three loops (D, anti-codon, and T loops).
Source: Rfam by way of RNAcentral